This 458-nucleotide ribosomal RNA is filed under the name uncultured bacterium. RNAcentral describes it as "partial 16S ribosomal RNA". It matches the Rfam family "Bacterial small subunit ribosomal RNA", at positions 338 to 795 of the family's 1533-position model. The record is from RNAcentral.
CCUACGGGUGGCAGCAGUGGGGAAUAUUGCACAAUGGGGGAAACCCUGAUGCAGCGACGCCGCGUGAGUGAAGAAGUAAUUCGUUACGUAAAGCUCUAUCAGCAGGGAAGAAAUACUGACCUUACGGUCAGCAGACGGUACCUGAGUAAGAAGCCCCGGCUAACUACGUCCCAGCAGCCGCGGUAAUACGUAGGGGGCAAGCGUUAUCCGGAUUUACUGGGUGUAAAGGGAGCGUAGGCGGUGCGCCAAGUCUGGAGUGAAAUGCCGCGGCUUAACUGCGGAACUGCGUUGGAAACUGGCGAACUAGAGUGCGGGAGGGGUAAGCGGAAUUCGUGGUGUAGCGGUGAAAUGCGUAGAUAUUAGGAAGAACACCGGUGGCGAAGGCGGCUUACUGGACCAUAACUGACGUUGAGGCUCGAAAGCGUGGGGAGCAAACAGGAUUAGAUACCCGAGUAGUC